UACGAAGGGGGCUAGCGUUGUUCGGAAUUACUGGGCGUAAAGCGCACGUAGGCGGAAUGUUAAGUCAGGGGUGAAAUCCCGGGGCUCAACCCCGGAACUGCCUUUGAUACUGGCAUUCUCGAGUCCGGAAGAGGUGAGUGGAAUUCCGAGUGUAGAGGUGAAAUUCGUAGAUAUUCGCAAGAACACCAGUGGCGAAGGCGGCUCACUGGCCCGGUACUGACGCUGAGGCACGAAAGCGUGGGGAGCAAACAGG
RNAcentral lists this ribosomal RNA (253 nucleotides) under uncultured bacterium. RNAcentral's name for it is "partial 16S ribosomal RNA". It matches the Rfam family "Bacterial small subunit ribosomal RNA", at positions 524 to 776 of the family's 1533-position model. The record is from RNAcentral.